UACGUAGGGACCGAGCGUUGUCCGGAUUCAUUGGGCGUAAAGAGCUCGUAGGCGGCCACUCAAGUCGAAUGUGAAACCUCGAGGCUUAACCUCGAGCCUGCAUUUGAUACUGGGCGGCUAGAGUCUGGUAGGGGGAUCUGGAAUUCCUGGUGUAGCGGUGGAAUGCGCAGAUAUCAGGAGGAACACCGGUGGCGAAGGCGGCGUUCUGGACUGCAACUGACACUGAGGAACGAAAGCCAGGGGAGCAAACGGG
This 253-nucleotide ribosomal RNA is filed under the name uncultured bacterium. RNAcentral describes it as "partial 16S ribosomal RNA". It matches the Rfam family "Bacterial small subunit ribosomal RNA", at positions 524 to 776 of the family's 1533-position model. The record is from RNAcentral.